Molecule: long non-coding RNA, 25046 nt
Organism: Gasterosteus aculeatus aculeatus (three-spined stickleback)
Lineage: Eukaryota; Metazoa; Chordata; Actinopteri; Perciformes; Gasterosteidae
Source: Ensembl
AAUCUGUAGCAACAAGGUAAUAAUUCAGUCUGGGAGCUCACAGGCUCCGACAGAUCCUUUGAUUUUCACCCGGUUUCAUUUCCCCUUGUUCCUUUUCCAAUUAACCAGUCCGAAGUCCACCUGCAGUGUGGGCCAACGGUUGUAAAUUAUUUCUACUUUCUCUCUAAUAUAUCACAGCGAAUGAAGGCCGAGAGAGGCGACGGUAAUUCACCCACAUUAAGUAAUACAAUUGAUGAAAAUGCAACACUCUCAAGCACCUCAUCUCGUUUUCUGAUUUCAACACAAAUAUCCUACAGUCAACAGAAUAACAACAACCAGCCAUUACAAAACCGGAUUAGGUGGCAAAUAAAGACUUGCUAAAGUAAGAACAAAAUGUUGAUAAUAUAGAAAAUCCCCAAUUUAAAAAGCCUAUAACCGAUAAGGUGUGAACAUCUCGGCUCCGUGAACUGGAAUACAACAUUUGCAGGUGGUGAGGUCAUUGAACAGAUAUCAUGUCACACUUCACGUCGCACUCGUGAUGAAUGCAGUUCUGCUCCCAGUUCUUUCCUCAGCUCCAACAGCCGGGAAGAGAACGAGGUAAGAAGCCGAAGUCGUGGAAGCUGGUGAAUCCACCGCCGUUGCAGCGGCCUCCACCUGCCCAGAGGCCAGAUGGCGGAGGAAGGGCAGGAGGCGGGCUCCUAAUGAGGCGAGACAGGCAGCGAGGGAGCAGAGGUUGUGUGGAAUGACCCCGAGGGGGGGGACACGUGCGGCGUCCUCCAUCUGCUCCGCUCACGUGGAACGCUGCGCCUCCGUCGGCCGGUGGAGACUCCACCUUGCGUGCACCGCCUCUCAUCACAGUUGUUUGUAACUUGAUUUCUCUCUUUGACUGGGAAUCGAGUCACAAAGAAGCACUGAACAUGACUUAGUUGAUUGCGAACGUCACAAUGACGCAAGAACCUCCCGCUCAGUCGACGACAGCGACAGUUCAUGUUAAGAUGAAAACGAUUAGAGGAACUCUGUAAAUGCUGCGGCACAACAUCAGUAGAGGUUUUAAGAUGAUGUACUUAAAAGGAUGGAACAUUUUUCUAUCAACUAAAAUCAGUUGCCAUCAUUUCAAACUGAGAGAAACACAUUUCGGAGAAUGUGAAAUAUAGUUGAGGUAAUUUCCUUUUGAUAAAUGAUUCACUCAGUUGUUCCUUUUAUGUCGAGUUCGACUGCUUUCAGUCUCUGUUUUAUUAAUAGAAGAUGGUGUGUGUGUACGAGCGUGUGUUGUUGUUAAGUGCAUGCAACGCGUCUCUGGCUAAUGCGCGUCCUGCAGAGAAACACGCGGCGCUUUCAUUCACGCGGUUGCACGCUGAGCGUCCGCGUCUUCACUCAACAACACGUCCAUCUCUGUCCUGCAGUCUUGCUUUAAACUCUUAUCCGACCAGAGAGACUUCAAGCUGUAACCAAACUCGUAGCAGUUGUUGUGAGCUGCUUUGGAGGCUUUUGGAGGACAGCAUUGUCCCUUUGUCCCCCUCAGACAGACUCAUGGAUCGACUUUUAUUACGCGGUUUUCACCCUUUGUUUCUUCCACCUUUUAAGCCACCUGAGACAACUUUACCAAUUUGGACAAAGUGAAUUGCCAUAAAUCAUGACCCGGUAGUGUCAUAUUAUAUUUAGGAGAAGGAAGAAAUAAGUCCUGUAAAGUAUUGCACGUUGGCCAUAAAAGGCCAAUCAGUUGUGGGGAAGAAGGCAGUAACUGUUGCCUGGUUAGUGCUAAUCUUUGUAGCCUUUAAGUCCUCUUGACUGAAGACAAAUGGUCCUGUUAAAAAAGGGACGGUAGGUGCAGUAGAUUAUAGCUGUGGGUGCCCAGAUUACACCGGAAAAAAAAAGAAUUAUGAAUAUUUAUAGAGCAGUCGACGUUUAAAAAUGCCUCACGACUACAGGCCGACAUGAAUAAUGUCCAAGAACUAAAACUGCUGAAAAGGCCAUUUCCGAUACCUGACCGAGACUAGUCGACCCUGUUUGAUUCACGUGCACGUCUCAAGCGAAAUGAUGUGUUUAUUUGCAGGAUGGGAGGCCGAGCCGCAGUAGGCGUUGUUUAAAUUCAAUUUCCUUCACUUCCUUGCUUUGUUUUGAUGGUGACAACUUGUUAAAGGAACACUGUGCACACCUAAUUAUUCAAACAGCCACUUUUUAGGACGUUUUCAGAAAAAUAAGAAACAAAAAACAGUGUCCAUCCUGGAAUAACUAUAAUUCUCUUUUCAAGUUAUAAUACCUACUAUUUCAUGUUGUUGCUUUUAGUACACAGUCAUUUCCUUAAAAGGGAUACUUCUCUGUAAUGUGGAUCCCUUGGCAUCAUGCGGCCGCAUUGAGCGUGUUGCAGCUAACACAAGAUGCUGUGAGCACUAUUCUCUGUCUUGGCUGGAGUCAUGCCUGCAAGUGAGGUAUCAACGUGACGUUUGCAGGAGCAAAUGCGCAUCAUUUUGAUGGGGCCUUGAUAUCGAAAAUGCAAUUUGUAAGAUCAAAAGAACAUGUCAACGCGUCCCAUUCUGGAGAAUGGAAAAACAUUCUGUUCAUCGCGCUCCCAUUACGGAGGAUACUGGAUGUCUGGCACGGAUAUCAAACGAGGGAUAAAUUACUUGCGCGCGUCAACAAGAGGCUGACGUCGAGGCAGAGCCAAACAAACACAGACGUGUGACACCUUCAUCACUGGAGGAUGAGAGCGUCCUUCGGGGUGCGAGGGGAGGUCAUGCGUGUUUCAUGAGUACAAGCUCGGGUUAAAGCCGCAGCAAAGGGUGUGAUGGCCGCGAGGGGAAGCAGACACAGAGACACCAAUAUGUCAAAAACCACUUAGCACAGAAUUUAGCACAAAACGGCAUCAGCCUUCAGUUGAAGCUCAGAGGAAGUCUCUCCAAUCUCUCAUUCCCUCCGUCACCGGGGCUGAUUGUUGCCGUACACUUUAAUAAUUAACAACAAUAAUUAACCAGAUUCAAAAUCCAAAGUUGAUGUUGAAAUGUUUAAUGAUGUAACUGUUCCAGCCACUUGGUGAAUUUACCCUUUAGGCUCUGCUUUGGUCUCCACCAACUGAAUAUAACAUCGAGCUCUUUAACUGCUAAAUGUAACAUUCAUCAUUUUUAGAUUUUUCUUCCAAAUUGUGGACAGAUGAACACUGUGUUGGGAACAGACAUGAAUGCACUGUGGACACGCAUCGCCAAUAACAGAAUGGCCUUGCAUUUACUUUCCACACAGCACGUAUGUGGUGUGACUGCACGGUGGAAAGGAUCCCACAUUUCCCCUUGCAAUGUGGAAUUGUCUUCCAGGGAAACUUUCACCGACUCUCACCUCGUCUCUGAAAAAUCUAUUUCGGGCUCGUUGCAGAAGCUGACAAAGAAACGAAUCGGCAGUUAUACUCGCGGAGGCGUUUGCGGUAAAUGCGGCCAAAGACUUGAUAGGAUGCGAUGAUUAUUGUCGGGUGGAAUUAGUCCAUCCCGACGCUGACCAUCCUUGUGAACAUCAGGCCCGCCGUGCUGGACUGACCCGAUGUCACUGGCCAGAGACGAGUGGUCAGAUUUCAUUUUCCGCCUGGGUGACGUCGCUUUAAGGGAUCGCCGUUUCUUUAAAGCGUGGAAUCCAUCUGUUUGCUAGUUGGGUGCAUUCAAGGCUUUUAAAUCUGCGGCUCACGGGCAGCGCUUCAGGCACCAACUGUGCGCAUAAUAACAAAUUAAAAUUUCAUUAGCAGAAGCUAAUUUCAAGAGGAGAAAAAUUUCUUUGACAAGUUGGAUGGUUUUGGGACACUAAAUGGAAACGGGGCAAACAUAUUAAUAACGCCGUGCUGUGUGCACACGUUCCCCACACGCCGCUGCUACAAUAACAAAAGUGACACGUUCGUCCGUGCAGAUUACUUGAGUCGCUGUCUCGGAUACGCCCGUGCACGCAGAAUGACGAAAUGUAUCAAAGGAAUGAUUCUUGUACAUUAGCGUUCCGAGAAACAUCGGGGGGGGAAAACAAAAUCCUGGCGAUUUUUCCUGUGAACCGAGGAACGAAAAUCAGUUUCCCUUUGUCCUCACCGGAGUGACGCGUAUCCACAAACAUGAGCCGUCGUCGCCUCGUGAGUGACCUUUGAACUCAUCAUUAAACGCAAUUGUACAGCAGAAACGGCAGCGAGCACCGACAGCCCACAGCGGCAAAGCUGGGAACCAUUACUCAUGGAGUGAAACAAAAGGCUUCUUAAGCUGGAGCAACAUUUGAUGCUGUGUGUUAUUAGUUAUGGUUGACUAUUGAUACCGGUUUCUGAGCUGCACGUGGCCGCAACCAUACCGGCUGAGAUUUUCUCAAUAAAGAAUAAAAUGUAUUCCAACCAUCGUAGGCGGUGGAGGGCACCGCCCAAACUUGAGUUGGAUGCGUUGUACAUUAUUAAUUGCAAAGCCGGCGGUGGAAGUGGCCUCGCUCGGGGGUGGUGCACGCCAGCUCCAGCAGAGUCUCCUCCAUCUUUUCACAUGCAAGUAGAGAUGAAGGGAAGAUUGCCGAGCUUUUCAUCAAUUAACUGAAAGAUAUUUCCUGUGUCAACUUGGCUCUCUAUCACAAACAUAAAUUAAUAGUUAAUAUUAUUUGGGGUGGUAACUGGGGAAUGAGAUUACCUAAUAAUCUAUAACACAUUCAUCUGGUGUGGCAGGUUCUCUCUUCCAGAAAGGCACCUCGAGAGCGUUUUUCGUCUACCUUGGGGGCCUCCGAGGGGGCAGUUUUGUACAUUGGACCACCAAGGUGUGUUGGGCUGUGAAAGGGUCAAAACAAACAGCCGUUUAGUGGAAGAAUUGGAUAAUAUCCGAUUUUGAAAUAAAAAGAGGUAGGCUGAUUUUUUUCCACCCCCAAAUUAAAAAAAAAAAACAUUUCCAAUGAAUUUUGACUUAACAUAUUUGCACUUAUUUUUAUAUUUUUGGACCUCAUAUUUUUUACUUUUUUUUCCAUGACAUUUUUUGGACCUUUUGGACAUAUUUGGACCUUUUUUUUACCUAAGAUUUUUUUUACUUUUUUUUCCACGAUGACAUUUUUCUACACAGCAAAUUUUGAAAUUUCAAAAAAUGACUUCUUAAAGAUAGUUUGGAGAGUUUGUGAGGAGACAAAUUCACCAAGCUACGUGGUCGUGGUGCGACGGGAGAUGCUCGCUAGUGACGUCGGUCUGCAGCCGCUAGGAAUUGUGGGACAGAAACAUACAUUCCUUUUGUAAAGGAAGGUCCAGUGGUUCCUAUGCUAAAGGAGCUAAUCAAGGAAGUGGAACAGCUCAUGGCGGCACUUACACUCCUUCACACGCUUCAAAUUCAGUCUCAUUUUUUGACCAAAUAUUUUCUCAUCCUUUUUUUCCAUGAUAUUUUUCUAACAAACAUUUUUUGUUUACCAUAUUUUUCGUAAUAUUUCACUUUUUUUUUAAAACAUCGAAGGAAAAACAAUGACAUGAUUCAAAAAAGGAAAACAAGCUGCCUCUCGACUGCUUUGUUAUCGUUCCAUGAGUCCUGCUCUGCAGUGGAGAACAAUGAUGCCGCCCACCUCUGCUCACAUCCAUUGUGAGGUUGAUAUAUUCAAUAUACUGUAAUGAGUGGGACAGGCUCACUUAUGAAAACAAAAUGUAACACGAAUAUGUCAAAUUGUUCUGCUCAAGUAUGAUUUCCUUUGAGAAUUACAGCAGCUAUGCAGUCUCUCUCUCUCUAAGUGUCAUUCCGCUGGACUUUAACUCGCCUCGCUGUGUAACCGUGUGGAUUGAAGGUCUUCUAAAGCGAGGCCUGCACACGAGCUAAAGGAUAUGACCCGAAGAUACGUCCACCCGGGUCCUCCCCCCCCCGUGACUCGCACCGCCACGGCCGUGAUUUUCCAUUAGUGUGUGACAGCGGGGCCGUUUAUAGCUCCAAAGCUCUGUGGAGAAGCAGGUUAGCUGUAAUUAUUCAGCCGAUGGCUUGCGAGCAGAGCGGCCCUGUCACACCUCUCCUGGCUCCCCGGACUGAAGGCAUCAGAGGCCGGGAGGAGCAUUUGGAUAUUAGUCACACCGGCAGCCGGCGUCUCCCCGAGGAGGCAGAGGAAGAGACGUAUUAGUGCGCAUGGAUUACAUACUCUUUAAUUCAGCCCCAGACCCAAAGGCCUGAGUGUGUGCGAUAACCACUCGGACCGUAUCUCUCAACCCAUGUGUUUGACUAAUAGCUCUCAACUAGUUCACUCUUAAUCUGUUUAGAAAUGUAUUUUCCGGUAACAGAUGGAUGGAAGCCGACUUUGAGAAUUUAACCUCUCUUUUUUUUUCUUUUCUUCUGUUGGAUUCACUACCAGCUGCAAUUUACUUUAUAUUUAAUUUCGCUCUCCUACGUGCCGUUGCAUUUCAUUCCUUUUUUUCUCUCACAUUACUAUUAGAGAAGCGGCUUCACCUUGUUGGCUGAUAAUAUCAUGCAGGUGCGAUUCAGAAAUAAUGGGGUUGUCACUUAAGGUGCUCAGGGGCGGCGGCGGCGCAGCAGCAGCAGCAGACUGGUGGCUUUUUAAAAAAAUAACGGUAAAAUAAACACAAGGACCAUCACUGCUUUUACUGAGCACACAGAAUGUGAACCUGAUUGAUGGUCUGAAACGGGAUGCUCGCUUCAAGCAGGACACCUGCAUCAUUGUUCAUUAUUCAGGAUAACGUGGAUCAGCGUGGAUGAACAGAGCUUCCCACGUUGUUAUUAUUAUUACUUAAAUUGCAUAAAGUGCACGUUGAUAGAUGAUGUACUGUAGCACUUACGUUGUACUUACAAUGGCUCUAAUCUUUAGCAUGUUGUAAAUCUACUUAUUUAAUGAAAUUGCACUUUCUCGUUUCUUGUUCUUUUGAGUUUGUGUCCUCGGGGUUGAAAUGCACUUAUUGUAAGUCGCUUUGGAUAAAAGCGUCCGCUACAUGACAAGUAAUGUACCAAUAUGUAAUGUAAUGUAGUGAACGUUUGAAAGAAAGACCGAGAGCCACUGAGCUUUGCGAUGUAAAGAAAAAUAAAAUAGGAUUAAUACAAAUAAUAAGUUGAAAUUUGCAUCAGUAUUGGUGGAACAAUUGUAAAAAUGGUUCGUUUGACAUUAUAAUUAGCAAAAAAAAGAGAAAUUCAGUUCAAAGAAUGUGCUAGAAACAAAUACAAACCUUCUCUGUGGAUUCUUCCUCAGCUCGUGGUCAUUUCUGUGUCUUUAAAGUGCUCUCUCCCUCUCUGCUGUGUGAUCGUUUCAUGGUCAUCCUCCUCGCCUCUCGUAUUUCUCUCUCUUUCUUUAUAUCUGGGCUCCAGUUCUGCUGAUGUUGUCGCUGCCAGCACAUAAAGUGUGCGAUAGCUUCUGCUUUGUUCCCCUCUGCUUCUCCCUUUGGGCUUUGGAAUUACAUCUCGCGCGCUGUUCUAUCAAAUCGAAAAGCCCCGCCUGCGCUGCGAGUGUGUCUCUGCCCCGGCGUAACCAAGACAAAUUCCCCCGAAUUUGCUUUCCCUCCAUGUAUCAACGGUUCUUUGGCCUCUGAACAUUCCGCGUGACUCUGCAGACAGUCGAGCGGUAAAUUAUGACGAGGCGCUUCUCACUUUUCUCCAUUAGCGGCUCUUUGAGCGACUGCCUCUGGUCUGCUCGUACCAAAUCAAAAGGCCCCGACAAGGACAGCUGCCACGGGGGGGCCUCCUGUGAUUUGCGGCGACGCCAUUUCCCCUCUGGCGGCGAAUACGGAUACGCAAACCAUGACAGAGAUUAAGCUACAAUUCAUCUUUAGAUUACAGCAAUUAAACUGUCAGAGCUCACAGCGGCAGUAUUUCAACUGUGGAGACCUGCGGCUCCUCAGUGCUGCGUUACGACUUUAAACAUCCUCGCGGUGACAUCUGGAACAAAACAGCCUCCAUUAGAACAACACAAAUUGUGUUGCGUGUUGCGUGUGUGUGUGUGUGUGUGUGUGUGUGUGUGCAGGGUUUUCUGGGUCGCAUUGUGCUGCAGCGGGUUGACUGACAGUGAGGAGAGACUCCGGUGAAGGCGCUUACACAGAUCGCCUGCCGCGUGUUGCCAUCCUGAAGUCAGCUGACACGCGGGCGUGCGUCCUGGGCCCCUCUGAGUAACGCUGGCGUGCGUCGUGGGCCCCUCUGAGUAACGCUGGCGUGCGUCGUGGGCCCCUCUGAGUAACGCGGCCGUGCGUCGUGGGCCCCUCUGAGUAACGCGGGCGUGCGUCGUGGGCCCCUCUGAGUAACGCUGGCGUGCGUCGUGGGCCCCUCUGAGUAACGGCCUCAGCCAAAAUGUCCGCAGUAGAAACGUCCCAAAGUCUAAAUCAAGCAAGUAGCUUCAUGCCGGAGGGCGAGUGCGGCAGCGCCUCCGAGGCAGCAGCUGGCACACAUCUGCUUGUGGACCACUUAUAAAUUAUUAGUGGAAAUGUCAGUCAGCCGUUGCAGGUCCGGCACUGGUGGGGUGACCGUGACGGUCCGAGUCGCGGGUCUCUGCAGGACGAAUACAGACACGUGUCCGCGGUGGACGAGGGAAGAAACCAAAGCAGGCGCGUUGUCCACCGUGACGCGGGACAACGGUUAAUGAAUGAAAGCGGGCGAGGUGACUGAUGCUCUGGUAGUAAUGUGACACCAGCAACCACUGCGACGCAGACAGCUUCUUCGGCAACCGCCGACGGCUGCUUUAAGCACAGACAAUUUCACGCAUGAAAGAUUUACACGCUGAGCAACGGGAAAUCCAUCCAUCUGAAGCCUUUGAGGUGUAAAGGAGUGAAAUAACACAGAGCCUGUCAGCCUCCGAGGUAAGGACGCGUGUCCGGGAAUACCGAUGGCGGCGACCUCGGCGGUACGGAUGGCGGAAUGGAGGAAAAAUACGGGUCCAGUAAGCCGCGGGUAUAAAGUACGAAGGCUUCAGCUUUUGGAGGUACAGGGAGAGAGAGAAAAGGCCAGAGAUGAUGACGCUGUGGAUAACGGUUAUGAAGAACAAUGCAAGAUAAAUUGCACAGUUUCAAUGGAGCGCUUUUACUCCUGGUUACUUUUUGUCUUAAUCAUGAUUUUACUAUUUUGGUGCAGUCACUUCAAGUUCUUUGUUAUCUAAUUAUCACAAAGUUGCCUCAGGCGGCUUGACAGUCUGUAAAACGGCUUGUUGUGUCUCGAAUAAGAGAAACGUUGACGUGUCCUGAUGCGUGUCAGUCACAUCCUGACACGCGGACCGAUGACAGGCACAUCCCGAAUUCAUUCUGAUGACCAGAGAGUUGCAGUACGAGAGAAAGAAAGUAAACGUCACUGUUCUCGGUGUGUGAAAGAGGACGGAGGACGUCCCAAGAAUUAGAAUUAAAUUGACUCAAACGUAGUUUCCUGAGUAACAUGAGGUUUAUUUUGAAAAGCACUGGAGGCAAGUUGCUGGCAGAAACUGACGUGACGUAAACCAACGCAUAUUCCUUGUUAUAUGAGCCGGAUUCUGAUUCUAAUAAGGGCUCCAUUGUGAUCAAAGACGAAAGAAGAAUACCUGCGAGUGCAUUCUCAUCCAAACACCAACAAAAAGCUGCAAUCUCUCUAGCUUUUAAGUUGAAAGGUUUUUUAAUGAUAGGUCGAUGUAAGUGUCCCGAAGAAUGCCGUUACUUACAGAGGUUUUAAAAAUCACUUCCACUAAAGUGAAGGCAAGAAAAUCCACCUACAGUGGCUCACGCUGCAAUCACUGUCUGAAUUGCGCACAAUUACGACAAUUACACUGCUAAAACAUUGCAGGAAAAAGGACAGAUUGACUUUGAGUUCUCGUUGCUGAUGUCCAAAUUGCUAUUUUACUGAAAAAAAGAAGAAGGGCCGAGUCCUGCGGGCAGCGCGUGUGAGGUGAAGACCACGGCGCUUUGGAACCGGCACUUAAGUAGAGUGGAAUGUGACGCUUAAGUGAGGAAGAAAAUAAAUGUAGACGGUCACAUGAGGACGAAACGUGUGUCGUGAACUCACAACUGAAGGACGUCGCGUCCAGCCGAGGAUUGCUAAGAAGGGUGAGAUGAGUGAAACCAAAGUGUCCGGUUUCAUGAAAUCAUGACCACCAACACGCGCAGAUUUGCAGUCAGUUGUUGUUGUUUUCUUCUGCUUGGAGAUGCAGGGAGACGCUUUUAGAACAAGCGUUCUUCUGGGCUUACAAACAAAGAUAGCUCGGGAAGGGAAGCGGUCCGCGGCUGGCGGGGGGAGAGACUAUGGAGAGGAGCAGAAUACCAAAUUUAGAUGUGAAGGCUUGCUUGAUAUGUAAAUGGGAGCCACUGUAUGAAUGUUUCAUUCAGGCUUGGCUGAGGUAGAAUGUGCACACAGAGUGCCAACAGAGCAUGAAAUAUACAUCAGAACUUUUUGUGUGUGUGUGUGUGUGUGUCGGCCGGGUACUGUAAGUUAAUGAGUACGGGCGGCGUGUUUUUUUUCCCCGCGUGUAGCGUCUGACUUUCUUCUCUGCAUGGAGGCCGACGCAGCAGAGAGCAGCGGUGGAAGUGGAGACGUCUCGGCAUCGCCCGGAUAAGAAGCUGCUCACUUUACAGCCUAAUGGCACGUAAGCGACCAGGCCGGGGAAACAGAAUGCAAAAUUACAUUUAAAAAUGACAGAAAACGGAUAAACACGGCCGUUUAUCUACUUGGAGAAGGUCAAAGGGGAAAAUGUUCGGUGCAACGUGGAUUUGUUUGUCACGUGGCCGCCGUACGUCAGUGCCCGACAAUGUAGAACGACCAGAACGCCAUGCGUCUCGCUCGCUUUCGGAACGCGUUGCGUCGGUCAGGUACGACACACGCGGGGGGGGGAACACGGAUUUUCUAGCCCAAAGCGGAAAUGUCACGUUCUCAAAGCUGCGUUUUAAUUAAAAAAACUAAUUGACACCCGCCUGGUACGUGAGCAGGUAAGAAUACAUUUUUCCUUUAUUAAAAAAAUCAUUGCACCUGUCAAAUGAUCCAUUUGUAAAAAAAAAAAACAAAGUGCCAGAAGUGAACAAUAACGCCGGCAAUUACUGACAAACUGCUUUUAACUUUUACGGCCGCUGUUAGAGGAUCUCCAAAAGAAGUUUGUUAUUCUAAAUGCAGAGCUCUGCGUGAGAAGAGAUAAAUAAUGCAGGAGCCUCCCUGCAGGGCGGCGAACAUUAGUUUCAUCGGCACGCUGCCCACCCGUCAAGUCACUGAAGACAAUAAUUUGACUUGGCACGUCUGCAGUUCAGUGAACGAGGAGUCCAGAAAGAAUUAACAAUUUAAAAAACAAAAAUACACAGAAUUAUAAAAGUUCAUUUUUGCCCAAUUUAGAUCAGCCUUUUAGUUAAUUAGCGCUCUGAGGAAAAAGCCUUUUAUUUGACUCGGCCUGGUGAGAUUUUGCCGCUUGAGCUCCAACAUUGUUCGGCUCCAGAGCAUCAUGUUCCCGCGCAGCAUAAACAAUGCAUCUCGCUGCGCCGGCUUCCCCGCCCCCGGCGUGCAGUAGCUGCCAAUCUGCGCUGCCAUGAAAUCUCUGAGCUGCCAUUCAGCAGCUAACAACCUCUGCAACUUGUGAACCCCACCGCACUCACUCACACACACGCACGCACACACACCACUCAUCACUCACUCACGCUCUGCACCAGUGCAGUGUGUCGCCGCCGCCGCCCCCCCGGCGGGAAGCUGUACGGGCAGCAGCUCCCACGGGCCCCCCGGGGCUGAGGACCAUUAUGUGGUUCAGCACCACCCGUCACACCAGGAGGAGCCACAGCGGCGCAGACGGGCUGUUUGGCUCCGUCCUAGUCGGGGGGCUCGAGUUUCUAUAAACAAAGAGGGAAGGGAGGAACACACAACGCAUCCUACAGCUAAAAGCAUGAGAACAAUCUGAGGGGCUACUUGAAGAGCUAAAAGGUGUCGUGAAAUAGAGGAUUCCCCCGAGAGCUGCUCUCCAGUCCGAGCCUGCAAGUUUCGGGUCUCGGGGUAAAUAAAUGCGCAGAUGAAAGUGAGUUCAACUCAUGCAUCCAUUGCUCCACGUGUGAUUACUUUUCCUCAUCAUUAUUCUUCUGUCUCGGACACGUCACAGAUAGAGAAACCACUCGUGUGCAACAACAGAAUCUGUGUGUUCGUGUAGGACGUCGUCCCUGAACACAAGGAGAUGAUUGUACGCCCUCAACAAAGAAGAAUCUCCGUCCCUUUUCACUCUCCAACCUCCUCUCAUCUCUCGGGUCUAGUUUCUGUGGUGCAGGAUCAAGUUAAUGCACCAGGUUCAAAUCAUCACAAUUUAGGAGAGAAAAACCCGUUUGAACCACAAUCAAUCCGUACGGUUUCAUAACAUAGUUGUGACCCGGCGCGUUGAGUAUGCCGCAGAAACAGAAGACACGGAAUCUGAUUUGCUGACCAGAUUCCAGGAAUUCAUUCAGCUGUGACACACAGCAGGUUAGAAGGCAGCCAAGAACUUUGUAUUGCACCUACGGAGAAAAGAGGAAUGUAUUCCAUCUCAUUACCUUUCAUUCUUUUUUUUCUUUUGAUGGAUCUGCACUGGUGCCUCCUGCAAAUGAAUCUCCACGCUGUGCAGCUAAAUGAGCCUCUGAAUAUUUCAUUAACGAUUUACGCCACAUACGGCCCCAAUGAUGUCUGCAGAAGAGGAGGAAUUAUAGCCCAGAAAAAGCAAAGGUAUCCUUGCGGAAAGAAAUAAUGACUUUCUAAAUGCGGACUCACAGAGGACCAAUAUUCCCGGUUAAGGUUCUGCGCAUCAUGCCUUGUGUUACAGGGAAAGCGGAGGCGAGGGAUAAUGCAACCACACUGAGAACCCUGUUCCACUCAAAAGGCAAUCAGGCAGCCGCUCAACGAGCGACACGCCGCUGUUUCUGUUCAUUAAACACGCGCAGUCCCUCCAGAACAAACCUCGCCUUCCCCGGAAACAACAAAGGCAUUUGGCUACGAGUUGAGGAAAAGAUUGAUGGUUCGGGUUCAGAUAAUGACGGACAGAAGUGACAUAAUGGUUCCAUCAACAGCCUCAGACCACAGAACGCACGUGUCCUUCACGGUUUUUACUAAUUACGGAGGAAACCCGUGGAAUUCUCCCCGCAUGUCCUGCCCGCAGAGGUAAACCAGUAUGAUUCCACCCUCAGUUAGACUCUACACGCUGUGCUGCGCCUCUCCUCAUCCAUCAUACUGGGAAAAACAUGUUAGCUUGUGUUUUUGGGCCUCAGAAUGAAUUAUUCAAUGAGCUCCUCAUUAUCUCGGCUGGACCUGUGCGUAGAGGACGUUCCGCGACUCGAGCUCCUUCUCCUUUCGCUGAGGAGCCGGGAAAAGCUCUCAGGUUAAUUGAAUUGUGGGGGGGUUUUUUGGGGGGGGGGGACGGUUGGUGGUCGCACUGUAAGCACAGACACAGCUGCUCUCGUCUGCCGUGAUUCAUUUAGGUUGCUCGCCGCCGAGAGCCCAUCCGGACCGCGGGACGCGAGUUAGCCGUAAUUCUUCAGUAAAUGAAAACAUCACCGCGCAGAACGAUGCUCACAUUUGGACAAAGUACCAUCGUAUCGUUAUUUUGGGAUGAACACAUUCAGGAGGGGGCCGGUGGCGGUCGGUGCUGGAUGCAAAGUCCCCUCAACCUUUGCGUUUUGUCGACGUUGGUUUUAUUCAUAAUGCAAAAUCCAUUUUAAAGCCAUUAUGCAAAGAUAUGAUGUAGCCAUUUUUAUUAGAGAACCAUCAAAAGUUUGGACACACUUUCUCAUUGAUUUGAAUGGGAAAGUGUCCAAACUUUUGACGAACACGCACAAUAUAUAAUAUAUUUCUCAAUCCCUCGCGUUGACAAAGGUUAUAAAGAACUUGUUGAAAUGAACAUAAAGCAUUGUAACCCGUUUAAAGCCACGUUGGAGCCGAUAAAACAUGGUACAGGGACACACAAUCUGAGGCCAUGUGUCAGGACGCAAUAAAAUAGAAUGAAACUGUCACCACACCGUGUCCCGCCGUGUCCCACGUCCCUUUCCCUCCGACGCAGCAAUGUCAGUCAGACAGAAUGAGAAUGAAAAUGCUUUGCGACUCCAAUUCGGUUUGCAUUGAUAAAAGGUCAUUUCACUGGGAACCGAGAGCAGACUAAUUCACAAAAUAAGGAUUGAUUCUGGCCCUAAUUUCCUCCUCCACCAAAGUAAUGAUUUACUGUACGUACAUGCGGAGCGUAUUUCUCAGAAGUCCCGAACAAUAUUUGACAAUCAUUUUAUGAUUGUGUCUCGUGAAGGAUGUACAAAGAAACCCACACAAUGGCAAAAGAGUCUUUGUAUUCUUUUUUAUUUUAUUUCUUUCUUGUUAAAACUCAUGUUCAUUCAGAGGCGACCUCGCCUCUUACACCGAUUCACGUGAUAUAUUCACUUUCCCUAAGAAAGGCCUGCAACUCGUCUCCGUCUCUCCUGAUAAAUGCAUGAGGUAUUUUUAAAAUAAACUCCACAGGAAACAACUCAGUUGGGUUUAUGCAACAACACCAUUAGGGAAAGAUUGUUGUUCAAAGCUCCGUGUCCACAUUUGUUCACCUGUUCAUGUUUGCAAAUGGAGACGUUUAUGAUUUACGGUAAUUAUAAAAUGUCAGACAGCCACGAGGAUCUUUACAGGCAUUUAACGGAGCUGCAAAUGACUUAUUGUGAGUAUUCUUUAUUAAAUAUAUGUACUGUGGGCAAAGCAAUCAAGGAGUCAUUAAAUAACUCACAUUUUUAAUCUAAUUUGUGAACCUAUGAGUGUUGUUUGCUUUACACCGACGGAUUGAGAAUGUGAAAUAAUGCUGAAAGCCUCUCUGGCAAAUUCAUAAUCUUUACGUUCAGGAUGUGAACUGAGAUUUACUUGCAAUGUGUUUAAUGUGUCAGUAAAUUCUAACGCGUACACGUUGACAUUCCCCACAAGUGUCACGUUACUCCAACUUGUCUCGUUUCAUCAUUGUUUCAUGAAGAAGGCUUUUAAUUUGCUGUUCCGGGACUCCUUUGCUCAACGACUGAAGCUGCGAGUCAUUUCUUUAAACAAAAAGAAGAUCCCCCUCCUCUGCUAUAAUCCCUCUUUUCCCCGCUGGAGUUGAAGAUUCAAAGCUGCUUUCUCUUCUCUUAAAUGUCAUUAAAAAAAAAAGGCCGGUUAGGGGAGCGGAAUGGUGCAGGCGGCUCUGGUGGGGAUUUUAGAAAAUGCCUCACUUCCCUUUUCCUCCGUCUCUGUCUUUCUGUCCACCUUUGGGAUUUAGCUCACCUAACCCAACACACACAGCAUAACACAGCAGACUCUGAGGCAGCAAUGAGGAAUAUUAGGGAGAGAGAAAUGAAAUAACAAACCAAGAAACAGGAGGAGUGUGAGGAAAUGCAGGGAGGACACGAGGAGAAGGAAUAAGAGGAAAAAGACGUGGUUUGUUUAAGCAAACAAGAAAUGAUUAUGCAUGCAAACAGUAAAGUGUUCAAUGAAGAAGAAAAGAGUUAGUAGAGGGGGGCGUAUCGUUCUCAAAACAUCUCCUGACCUGCGACCCCCCCCCCCCGAACACAUCUACCAUCUCUACAAAAAAAAGACCAGAUUGUUGCUCUGCAGUCUUAUCAGCCGGCACCAGCAGAAAACCUCCAGAGAGACGUUCAUAGAGCUCGUCCAAGACUUGCACACCACUUACUAGAUGCAAAUUACUGACUUAACGCAUAUAAUUCAAUGAAGACGGUAGAGACGAAUGCGGAGGAAGAUAACUCAAGGAGAGUGUGAGGAAGUAUUUUGCACAGCGAAACGAGAGGAUUCCUUCAUAAGACAAUAAGAAUUUUGCACCUUACAACAUAAACAGGUUGAACAAACUGAAUUCCCAGUGACAUGCAAACUCAGUUGCCGUGACCGACAGGAGAAAAUUCGAAAUGAUGACAUUUUUUUUUUUAAAUUUUCAAAUAUUAUUCCGUGCUAAAAGAGGUGUAUAAUCGUAAAACAUGCAUGGGAACCAGACAGAUAAAUAACGUACAUUUCGAAAAACAAAACAGGCAUCAAGCUCUUCAGAUUGAUCCGUAACCUUGGAAAUGACAAACAGGAAGGAGGUUGUUGAUGAGUGGAGAAGUGAUCCAGUGUUACACCUGCAUAUCGCUCCCUCCUUCUCAUCAUGGGGCUUUAAAUAGAAAAAGAUCCUGUUCCUGUGAUGCCGUUUCCUUGCCGGCUGCAGGUCAGUGUAACGUUGCAGUACCACCCUCUGCUGGUCAUCGGGUUUCAUCAGAUGUUCUCAAGCUGUCGGGCCAAACGCGGCAGUCGGUGCUGAGACCAGAUGCCUGAAGGACACUCCGCUUGGAAUGAACCAAAUCCUUAGAAAGGACCCGAACUUUUUCAAAAACGUUACUCCCAGGCAGGUUCUUCAAGCUCAGAACCGCCCGUGAGGUUCGCUCUGGAGUAAACAGAUGAUGUCACCAAUAAAAGGGAAUUAAAGGGAUUUCCUUAAGCUCUCGUUUGCUUCUUGAGGCUUUUAUUUAGAAACCGACUGGUGAGCCGCAGUCAGCUCGUCCUUCCAUUCGGGAGCGUUUUCCUUUCUUAUCGGUCGUAUAGAACAAUAGUCUCUCUCUCUCCCUGCGUAGUUUCUUUGAAAGUUGUCCAACCAGUUGCAGUUGUGCAGAGGCAACAAUGUGGCAACAUUGCGUCCCUGCGGUGACCAGUAGUGAUGCCGCAGUGAGUCCGAUUGAGGAGCUCUGUUCAUCCGAUCCCCGACGUGAGCCGAGGGUUUACGCCGACAUCGGCUUCUUACCUCAAAAACAGCCCUCUCAACAUGGCCCGGCGCGCGGAACGAGGAGCGCAAGCGUCUGGGAAUCGCAAGCAGGUGGCUCACCAACGCACAAGUGGUUCAUAAUAUUGGGAGAAAAUCACGAUGCUUGUAUGAAGUUGCGGAGAAAUGCAGAGACCCUCGAGAAUGACAUUCAUUUGUGUCUGAUGACAAUUUAAUGUGGCCAAUUUCCUGACACACACUUUAUUUAAUGACUGUAGUUACACCCAGCAGGGGGGGUAAUGUGGCCUGAAAAGCAUGUGAAUGCCUGGGGGGGGGCCCGUGGGUACACAGCCAGUUGACAUUUUUGUGUUGCAUGAUUGGCACAAGAUACAAAAUCACAGGAAGGAGUACGAAUAGUACAUUUUAUUAUGUGUGAUUUAAUCCCAGUGAAAGUUUACGUUUGAGAUGAACGGCAGGUUCAUCCCCCCCCCCCCGAGAUGGAGAUAAUCACCAUCUAUAGAUUCCCUUAAGACUCCUCAGAAACACAGACAGAGAUUAAUAGCAAGCGACACGAGUGAAUUGAAAUAGAUAAAAGAUGAAUAAGCGAGGAGGGCGGAGAGAGAGAGAGAGAGACGUCGGUGUUAAGUGGCGAGGUGGCGAGUUUCAUUACGCGUUAUUAAAAGAGCCACAUGUUAUCCAGGUCAGGGCAGCAGAGAGCCGCUCGCCGCCCGGCUCGGGGGUCCUCUGGGCCCUUUUAAAUUUAAAUGGGGCUGCUCGCAGGUGGCAGGAGACGAGGAGGAAGAGGCUUCAAAGGCUACGAGAGGAAGAGGGCGAGCGAGACGUUGGGCAGCUAAUGUCGGGAAAGCAGGGAGGAGGCCGGCGGCUUGGCUCGGGGGGAGGUUGGGGGUCGCCGAUGCCGUUCGUUUGUGGGGAAGGUGACUUGAAAAGGGCGGACUGGCUCAUAAGUGGUUUCUGAUCCGACUUCCCUGUUGAGAGGAGGAAGAAUUCUAAUCCGACGCCAGUGGGGCUGAUACGCUGGUCCAGCUGGGCCAGUGGCGACGCGUCUCCGGAUGUCGUUGUUGGUGUUUUGUGCUCUUUGCUCCAUCAACUGUGACUUACUAGAAUUAGCAGAAGUAUGACAAGUUGUAACUGGUGUAAAACUGACAUUUACUGCAGAGGAUCGGUGCCUACUGCAUGUGGGAGAUGCUGCCGCUUCAUUCAAAGAACCAGCGAUUGAGGCCAUAUGAAGCUGUGUUUCAGACAGAAGAGUCUCCUCCUGCAACCAUUCCCCCCCCAAAAUGUAGUGGAGAAUUCCGUUUAGCUGUUUUUCCUUUAGUACGAGGCAGGUUUUAUGUGAAAUACCUCCAGAAGAUGCAACUACAAAGACCGAAACGCAAACGUCCCCACGGCUUCAAUGUGGAUCCGGCUUAUCGUUCCGCUCAACCGGCAGCACUGUGGUCUGAAGACUGGCUUUUGAGCAGCUCGCCGGUUCAUCUAGAAACGGCGGCGCGCGAGAGGACGCCGAGGUGGGGUUCACCGGCUGGUGCUCGUUGACUUUGGACCACGGUCACCUGCCGCGAGUUCAACUAACUAAUGCGGCCCGGCUGACCUCGGCCGCUCGCACCCCAACUACCGCGCACGCGGUAUUUUCCUGAGUGUCCUUGAGUUGAGAAUAGAGGCUGAAUAAAGGUUUAUUGCAGCGGAUUAGCUGCGCUUAUUUAUGGCCACGCAGCAGUAAUCAGAGCGUUGACUUAUACUGCUGACGGGGGGGAAGGUACAUUAUAAGAGUGCGUAUUUCAUAGUGGUGAGUACAACGCUUCACGCCCAGCUGUCAUUUUGGAGAUGAGCUUCAGGGUUAUUCCAACACCGGCUCAGGGAUUUUUUGAAAGUUUGAAAACAGUUUGUCUUUAUCUUUUUCUUUUUUUUUUUGUUCUUUCAAAUCAUCAAUUAAAAGUAAAACUAUUUGUCAUUUGCCGGCACCUGCAGGCCUCGAUGCCCGACGGCCUGCUCGGCCCACCUGCAGGCUGCAAUCGAGCUCCGCCUGUUAAUAUAAACUCGCGGCAUCGCUUUUACGCAUCACACAACCUCUGUGAUGAGAAACAUCAUUUCUCGAAAGUGACCACCAACUCACAAGUCAUCGUCCUCACGCUCGCUGCAGCCAUGUGGCUAAACACCAUUUGCCGCCAGCUGCAUUUUUUUAAUUAUACUCACUGUUUGAAUCAUUCAAACCCAACAGGUACACAGGCACGGAGUUAACGUGCGUUUUUUAAGGUAGAAAAGUCUUCUUGAAUCAUUUUAGUCAUCGUGGCACAAUGACGAAGGUAUUAGCUCGACGAAUUAGUGAAAAAACGUGAAAUCGACUCGACUGAAUUGCUCCAAAGACUUCCUUCGUCACAAUGUGAAUUUGGUGUUGAGAUGCUCGGCUAAAAUGUCAAAAAGAGUCAACUACGUGCUGCGUUUUUUUACAUUCGUCCUCUUGGGACUUUGAAUACGGAGCAAACGUCCCUCUCGGGACGCUGGAGACCACACGGCCGUUUAACGAGAGGAGGCCUGCUUCAUUUUUCAGUUGGGGCCGACGUUGCCAUCUAUAACGUUAUUCUACUCACGUGGCUGACUGAUGGUGAUUCCCUCUGAGGGGGAAAUAUGGGUUACACUUUUAUAUUUGUCACCCUAAUUGCUCAGAGUGCCUGUGUUCCCCCGUCUUUUGCUUUCGGCUUUGGCUUCGGGGUUGGAAAUGAAAGAUUAGAGAACACAAAGCGAAGAAAUGAGGAUAAAGCUCUGAUGACACACAGGGGGAGAAAAAAAACAACAACCAACCGGCGUCUUUGUGUCUCUACGUCCGGCGUUCUGCACACAGCAGCGGAGAACAAACGGCGGUGGGAAUUUAACUCCCUGAAAAGCUGUCGCUAAUACGCAGGAAAUGAAACUGGACACACACACGCGCACCAACCCGCCAAACUGCCACAUCAGUCCUUAUGGAAGGUUCUGACUCCGGACCUCAGACUGUCCAACCACAGGAGGAGGAGUCAACAUGUAUUAAAUGUGAAAUACAGAAAAUCAAUAUUGCAUUUAAAUCUUUUUUUUUUUUUUAAUCCAUCCAAACUUUUGAAAGUUCUGACCCUUCGUGCAGUUCUGAAGGAUUUCCAGCACAAGACGAGAUGCGUUAUGAGCUUUUUACGUGACAGAUUGGCUGCUGCCAUUUUAAUUCCUGGAUGACAUCGUCGGAAUGUCAAGAGGGAUUAGAAAGGAAGACAACAGCGAGAGACAGAAGUUGGCAUUCAGCAAGCGGCGGCUGCGUGCCAGCGGGCGCUCGGCCAGACCCAAGAAACACGCGGAAGCUGAUGUCGCCCCCUGAAGCUCGCCUUUCCGAUUCAUCUGAAUCAGAACAAGGAUGCACGCUGGCCGCGUCGUUCGGAUGUGCGCCGUGAGGACGUUGGCAGCGAAGGGCAACAAAGGUCGAGCGCGUUUACCCCCCCCGACAGAGAGGAAGACUGCGUUUGCGCUUUUCAGACCCGCUCGCAUGUCAUAUUUUAGCAAUAAUUAUAAUUCCGUGCCUCACUUUGGAGUCGAGGACAGGCCCUUUCGCUUUACAAUCAACCACAUCACCCCCUCACAGGGGAGGCCUCCUCUCUCAUCAGCAAACACCACCAUCUGCCGUUGCCCCCCAUUUGUUUGCGUUUGCCUCCAGUCUGCUAAUCGCCGUCUUCGCCGAAGCAAAGCCAUUGCAGCGGGGGAACUUUCCCCGCUCAGGUUGAUAUUCGCAGUGCAGCGGGGAACGAGCCGACGGAGGCUCCAGAGGCGCCGACGGCCCCCGUUCGUUUCCAUGAGCGCAGCAGCUUCACAGCACCUCAGAAGUGACAACGGCAAGUCAGCUUAAAUGGAGCAAAGCGAGAAGACGGGCCGGAAUUUCACCUGAGUGACUGAUCCUGAAUGAAUUCAUGGAAGCUUCAUGAUGCGAUGGCGGGGAGGGGGGGGGGACUGGCUUGCCUUUAAGGCGCUUGUUCAAAAGGCAAUACUUUAAUUUGAGGCAAUUUCAAAGAUGUAUAUAUAUAUUUAUUUUACUGGUGAAGGAUGAAAACUGAGCCGUUCCAAGUCACCUGCAUUCUGUGCAUGUGUGGAUAAUAUGUGCAAUUUCCCAUUUUGAACCCAUAUCUGUCCUUGUUAUGACCCCCCAGUUGUGGCUGCAGCCGGCAGGAAAACAUCUCCAAUAAAGUCUGGAGUUCUUCUAUUUUCCUCCCGGGGCGUUUGAUCCCAGGCUCACGUCCUCUCCAGUGAUGAAGUUCAAUAUUUUGCUUUUAUAAAUGACUGACUGAGCUUCUUAUCCCAACGGACUUUCACACUUUUCUCACUAAACCUCCACAAAGUAAAUCUAAUUUUCUUUUCUGCAGACAUAGCAGAGCUGUGUACACACACACACACACACACACACACACAGGCUCUUUUGACUUUUAUAUUCAUCCAGCAGCUUCACUGCGUAUAGAAAAGCUCUUCUUCGUGUAUUUCUGGGCCAAAUUGGUGUAAUUUAAGACAGUUCUCCUUCAGCCAGAAAAAUAGCUUUAAAAUACCAAAAAUUGGCACCAGACUCCUCCAUUGUUAAGAAAUUGAGGCGGUUAUCUCAAAAUCUCUUCGACCUGCUCAAUUCUGCCGCUCGAUGACUCGAUGCAUCUCAAGCUCCCUGUCAAAGGCCCCCUGCAGACGGCGUACGAGUACCGUGGCGUCCGUUUGUCUUGGUGCCCAUCGUCACCCAAUGGGCACCAAGCUGAGAAGAUCUUCCUUCACACAUGCGGGUCAGUGAGGUCAGCGGCAAAGUUGGAGCAGGAGACACAACGCUGAGUUUCAGACUCGACCGUUCAAUCAAUUCUGGGUUUCUAAAUAUUUACCCACAGUCACAAAACCCUGAGCCAUCAUUCCCCCUCCUUCACAUAAGUGAUGGGCAGGCGAAAUGAGAUUUUCUCCCACUGAAUGAAUGAAUAUCAACGAGACAGAGGGCCGAGCGACAGAGGGAGAGAGAGAGAGGGGGAGGAGGGCAGGAUGAGCUUUAUUUGCCAUUUUUGGUUAAACAUACAUGGAAUUUGACAUCGCAUGUGCCCUCUAUCACAAAAUGAAUAUACAAGAGAAAGGGGAGUGUACAUAAGGAUAAAGUGUGGAUGUUGGAGGCCGAGUUUAAGUCCCGGCGGAUUGUGGAUCCCAGAAACCUGAAGGUCUCCGGACUCCUCCCCGUCCCCCCGCUGUGACCUCCGAGAGCUUCACGUGACAAAUUUAAUCUCUCGCUCACUUUUUGGGGAGUUUCAGAAUGACUUUUGAGUGACAUUUGGAUUCAAAACCUACUUUCACGGCUCAUCGCUGCCACCAGAGUCAUGUGUGAUGUCAGAUAAAAAAAAACCCGGAUUAAUAAAACGGAUUGUGUGGUUGUCUGAAUAAUUGAAAGUGGUUAAAUCACGAAAGCCUUCACGUGGCAGCGAGUGUUCUGCACAUGAAUGAUUUGCUUCUGUUGUAAGCGCAGAUAUUUCAAUGUCACAGGCUUCAUGGAGCAGCCGAAGCAAUGUUAUCAUGUCAUCAUUAAGUGUUGUAUCAAAACGCCUGAACAAAUAUGGAGAGCGGAAAAUGAAUGACUGAAACGUUUACAUAAUUAGAAUAUUCUCUGAAUUUUUUUUUUUUCAUUGGAUCUCAAAAUUUUGAAGGUGGCAAAGGUUGAUUCGGUUUUCUAAUCCUGUAUCUGGAGGAAACUGGAGUAUUUAUGCGACUGAAUAAAGAACAAGAUCAAAAUGAAAAAAUAGGGAAAUCCGUUUCAGUGGUAAAUUCUUCGCUGAAAUACUGAGCCGAGGACACAAAUCUGUCUGAUUUCUUCCGCUUUGAUGCAAACAACCUCGGUAUUUUAUUUUUCCUAUUUCGGGCCGCCUUAAAAUCCACACUGAGAACGCAACAGACGGAGUAACCAAGCGCAGGUCUGCUUAAUCAACGGAAAAUCCCCACAACAUGCAGAGGUCGAGGGGUUUCCUCCGUAAUUCAUGCGUGAGAGCGGCGAACAGAUUGAAUUGUCACAACUCAGAUGAGAAGAGCGAGAGAGUCUCUCUCUCUCUCCUGCAAUAGACAGGAGGGGAGACGAUGCUGAUUUCGUCUUCGGAUCAUUUACGUUCAGUCAGGAAUCCUCAAGUCGCUCCAGUGUUGCUGUCCCUGACCUUUGACCUCCUUGUGGAAGAGGAACGAAUGGAAAGAGAUCAGGCCUCAUGGAAACUCAGCUUUGGUUCUUUUUUUUUCACCACUAAAUUAAACAGUGAACACUUAUACUUGCGUGUUAAUUCAAACCAUGUGUGACACAUCGACUUUAAGGCCAAAUCAAAGCAUAUUGAUCAUAUUCUAUUCAUUGCAUCUCUGAUAAUUACACGAAUAAAGGAUGAAUAUAUGGCCGCUCUAUAUGAGAAGAAUGCGACGCGUACUUGACGCAGAGUGGUUGGUUUUCGUCGCACAGCGGUGAGGAAAUAAAUCAAUCAAACUGCCGUAAAUAACCCGCCAGUGAAAGUGCCAAAGAGUUCCUUUGGUGUGGAGAUGAGAGAACACUACAUCAUCUCCCGCAACGAGACGUUGUCCCUCUGGUUUAUCUCCAUCGGUGAUGUUGUGUGCAUGCAAAGACUAAACACAUCAUGAGUAACGGAGUUCGGGGAAAAAAAAAACAUUCCUUCUGUGCAACUGAAGCAAUGUGUCUGUGCGUGUUCCUCCUCUUGUGGUUCCAACAGGAUGUUUCCUCCUCGUAGACGCCAACCUUCCACACAAAAGGUAACCGAGUGACCCGAUGUGAAACAUGCAGACCAUUAAACACAAUGAAUGCUAAUGGAGGUCAAGGGUCAUUCCGGACGAAAUGGGCGUUUGUUCAAUGUCAGUGAUUUAGCGUCUUAAAUUGACUUUGUCGGUAAAUGAAUAGCUGUUGAAGUCCAUUAACACCCUGGUCACAUAGAAAGUGUACUUGCUCCUCUUCAAAGGGCGACUUGUGCCGCUGUCGGCCGGACGGCGCUGACGGAGUUCACAACGCUGAGACUCUCGAGGCAAAACUGGCCUCGACUUGACAGCAGAAGACCUGAAAACAACCCGAUAACUCGACGACAUCAGCGGCGCUCUCACGGUGCAGAGCAAACAAUUUAAAUAGCAGACACGGCCCGCCGCCGCCGCCGCCGCCGCCGUCCCCUCCGCGUAAUCAAUUUGCACACGCGGACGCGGCAUCUGUCUGCGUGCACAGUUGCCCUUUUCAGAAAUGCCACGGAAGGUCACGGAGCAGUAAGUCGGAGUGUCGGCCUGAUUUCGCACACUUCCUUGCGCAUCAGUGGUGCGUUUAUGCAGGAAAAACAGCAGACGUAACACGGGAAUCAAUCCGGGUUUAAUCAUUCCGUCGUUUGGUGUUUCCUCGCCGGCGGUUUGAUUUAAGAGCGGCCACAUUUUAAUGCACGGCACUCACAGGCGUCGAGGGGGGGGGGGAACUCGGGCGGGCUCUCAGACAAAUAUUGAUCCUCUCUGUUUCAUUUCUUUUUUUUUUUUAUAAUCCAAUCAAUACGGGGCCAGUGUUUCUGUGUGAGCGGGCAGCACAACUCUUACAGCGAGGGCCCGGCCUGCCGGAUAACAUAUUGGAAGAUGCUUAAAUCCAAUGAAGAGAGUUCGGAUUGUACGAAUGAAUUAUAAAUGUGCUGCAUUGAAGGUGGAUUGCAUGAGAUAUGAAUGCGAUUGGUGUGAAGCAGGUGUUUGUAUGAUGCCAGUGCAGUAAGCACAUUCACAACGUAAUCAUCUCAUUAAUGUUGCCCUGCAUGGCGAGCGACUGGAUCCUGACCGACUUGGUUCCGUCCGUCUGCGAUGUCCCGGGAGACACGGCGGACGGAGUUAGACGGUAUCUAUUGUGGGGGGAAAACACCAUCUUCUGAAAUAUAAAUGUGUGGUUUUCAGAAUGAAUGCAUUGCGACGGCUUAAUGUCUCUCCUCACCGCUGCAGCUUUACCUCUGACUACAUUUAUGGUUUCCCAGUCGCUUUGUCUCUGUCUGUCUCUGUCAGAGCAGACGUCUUCAUCAUUGGCUGCAACGCUGAGGUAAUGAUUAAACCCCUGAGAGCCAAGAAGUGCUUUCUGUGAGGUCGGCAAUCUUUGUCUUUGGCUUUUCAUCCGUCCGGUGGAUAUUUCGUCGCAUGAUUCUACAGAACCGCCGCGACAUUUACAACCGGGUUCGAGUACAAAGGAUGCUUUGUUUCGCCAUCGGUUAGUCCAGUUAACUAAUCAACUAACACCUGGCUGCUUAGACACUGUGAUCACAUCUUGUGAAAGUACUUUUUUCAGUGACGUAAAGGGUUGUGUGUUUGUGGGGAAAAGGUGCAGCGGAGGCAGCUUGUGUUGCGGCCUCCUUUCUUGGAAGCCCCCGUGGCUUAUCAGAUUCCCGCCUGCAGAUAGUCCCCCGCAUAAAGCGGACCUGUUUGUCCUUUCAUGUUCCUCGGAGUGGCAGGAAAUGAGACAGUGGGGGGAAUUUUUCCAUCGACGCCUCUUU